Molecule: transfer RNA, 63 nt
Filed under: Agama kirkii
Lineage: Eukaryota; Metazoa; Chordata; Lepidosauria; Squamata; Agamidae
Description: tRNA-His
Source: RNAcentral
CCAGGAAAGUUAAUUAUAACAUUUAGGUCGUGACCCUAAAAAUAAGAGCAUCUCUUCUUGGCC